GCAUUGGUGGUUCAGUAGCAAAAGUCUCACCUUGCACGUGGGAGACCUAGGUUCGAUUCCCAGCCAAGGCA
This 71-nucleotide transfer RNA is filed under the name Loxodonta africana (African savanna elephant). It matches the Rfam family "tRNA". From Rfam's summary of the family: Transfer RNA (tRNA) molecules are approximately 80 nucleotides in length. The record is from Rfam by way of RNAcentral. Lineage: Eukaryota; Metazoa; Chordata; Mammalia; Proboscidea; Elephantidae.